CGGGACGGGUGAGUAACGCGUGAGUAACCUGCCUUUCAGAGGGGGACAACAGUUGGAAACGACUGCUAAUACCGCAUAAGCCCACGGCUCGGCAUCGAGCAGAGGGAAAAGGAGCAAUCCGCUUUGAGAUGGCCUCGCGUCCGAUUAGCUAGUUGGUGAGGUAACGGCCCACCAAGGCGACGAUCGGUAGCCGGACUGGGAGGUUGAACGGCCACAUUGGGACUGAGACACGGCCCAG
RNAcentral lists this ribosomal RNA (238 nucleotides) under uncultured bacterium. RNAcentral describes it as "partial 16S ribosomal RNA". It matches the Rfam family "Bacterial small subunit ribosomal RNA", at positions 100 to 334 of the family's 1533-position model. The record is from RNAcentral.